AUGUUAAAACUCCUCUCCAGUCCAUAGCUCUGUAUUAGGCUACAAUGAGUUAUGCAACUGCAUAGAACUCACAGACGGCCCUAUUACUUAGACAAUGCUCUACUUUGGACCAGAGCCCCUUGACACUGUUUUACACUAUUUGCUAAAGAUGUAGACUACAGAAGGCCUGUUUUUUUUUAUUCUCCACAACGGUGUGUGUGUGUAUGAGCGAGUGAAACAGAGACAGAGAAAGGCGAUCAUUUGGUAGUAGUCCUACGUACUGAUUGGCUCUUGCGGUACAUGUGACAACUAUCCUCAUCUGCAUAUGGACAGGUACGCUAUGGUGAGCGGGGUAGAGAAGUUACCGGGCUGGCACCGUGUGAAUGGAGUUUUAAAGAUCGUCGAGAAAUCUCCUAAGUAGCCCUAGGACAUCGUUAGUCUACAGCAAGAGGGCUACUGUUUCAUACCGCCCAUUGACUUCGGAAAAUAGCUCAUUGUAAUCAACAGAGACAGGCACCCCUCACUGUCAGUCUGGCUGCUGUGUCCCCAUUGGUCCAGAUGUGAGAGCAGAGACCAGCACCUCUAACCCUCAGGGCCCGUCGUCAU
Molecule: long non-coding RNA, 585 nt
Organism: Oncorhynchus nerka (sockeye salmon)
Lineage: Eukaryota; Metazoa; Chordata; Actinopteri; Salmoniformes; Salmonidae
Exons: 3
Source: RefSeq, a predicted model, not a curated record